RNAcentral lists this ribosomal RNA (506 nucleotides) under uncultured bacterium. Its description in RNAcentral is "partial 16S ribosomal RNA". It matches the Rfam family "Bacterial small subunit ribosomal RNA", at positions 29 to 523 of the family's 1533-position model. The record is from RNAcentral.
AGUGAACGCUGGCGGUAGGCCUAACACAUGCAAGUCGAACGGCAGCACAGGAGAGCUUGCUCUUUGGGUGGCGAGUGGCGGACGGGUGAGGAAUACAUCGGAAUCUACCUUUUCGUGGGGGAUAACGUAGGGAAACUUACGCUAAUACCGCAUACGACGUACGGGUGAAAGCAGGGGACCUUCGGGCCUUGCGCGAUGGAAUGAGCCGAUGUCGGAUUAGCUAGUUGGCGGGGUAAAGGCCCACCAAGGCGACGAUCCGUAGCUGGUCGGAGAGGAUGAUCGGCCACACUGGAACUGAGACACGGUCCAGACUCCUACGGGAGGCAGCAGUGGGGAAUAUUGGACAAUGGGCGCAAGCCUGAUCCAGCCAUACCGCGUGGGUGAAGAAGGCCUUCGGGUUGUAAAGCCCUUUUGUUGGGAAAGAAAUCAAGCUGGCUAAUACCCGGUUGGGAUGACGGUACCCAAAGAAUAAGCACCGGCUAACUUCGUGCCAGCCGCCGCCGUAA